AUGGGCGAGCCUGAUGCAGCGACGCCGCGUGAGGGAUGACGGCCUUCGGGUUGUAAACCUCUUUCAGCAGGGACGAAGCGCAAGUGACGGUACCUGCAGAAGAAGCACCGGCUAACUACGUGCCAGCAGCCGCGGUAAUACGUAGGGUGCAAGCGUUGUCCGGAAUUACCGGGCGUAAAGAGUUCGUAGGCGGUUUGUCGCGUCGUUUGUGAAAACCAGCAGCUCAACUGCUGGCUUGCAGGCGAUACGGGCAGACUUGAGUACUGCAGGGGAGACUGGAAUUCCUGGUGUAGCGGUGAU
This 300-nucleotide ribosomal RNA is filed under the name uncultured Rhodococcus sp. RNAcentral describes it as "bacterial SSU rRNA". It matches the Rfam family "Bacterial small subunit ribosomal RNA", at positions 371 to 685 of the family's 1533-position model. Lineage: Bacteria; Bacillati; Actinomycetota; Actinomycetes; Mycobacteriales; Nocardiaceae. The record is from RNAcentral.